CUCAUCUCAAAGACAAUUAAUAGCCUGUGGUCUCCACAUAAACAGCAACAAGACAAGGACUCACAGGCACUGGACAGCUAAGCAGCAGAUCUGCUGGGAAGUGGUCAGAUUUUUGGAGCCUUAGGGAAGUACUGUACCUUUUGAAUGGUGUUCAGGGAAUUGAGAGUGCUCAACAUCAUUUGCAAUAAAUCACUGGCUUCUGAAGGACUGAGCCUCAGGUGUGGACUGUCCACAGCCCUGAGUUCUGGACCUACCAUUAUCAUCCUCUCUAGGAUAUGCCACCACUCAGACAGUGAUCUUCCAGUCUAUCAGGUACAGAGUACUUCAUUAUGUGCACGAACAGAAAUGCUUAAAUGGAUGAAGCAGCUAUUUACGUCUGAUAGGAGCUAAGUGGGACAUUAAAUUAAUGCCAAACAA
RNAcentral lists this long non-coding RNA (417 nucleotides) under Cyanistes caeruleus (blue tit). RNAcentral describes it as "lncRNA (ENSCCEG00000001074.1)". Lineage: Eukaryota; Metazoa; Chordata; Aves; Passeriformes; Paridae. The record is from RNAcentral.